RNAcentral lists this transfer RNA (85 nucleotides) under bacterium. RNAcentral describes it as "tRNA-Leu". It matches the Rfam family "tRNA". From Rfam's summary of the family: Transfer RNA (tRNA) molecules are approximately 80 nucleotides in length. The record is from RNAcentral. RNAcentral also lists the same sequence under 1 other name.
GCCCGGGUGGCGGAAUUGGCAGACGCGCAGUCUUGAGGAGGCUGUAUCGCAAGAUGUGGAGGUUCAAGUCCUCUCCCGGGCACCA